CCGGCGGCCGCUGAGGGAGAGGGAGCGGGGUUUUUUUUUUUCUCUCCAUCCUGGUAUUUUAUCAUCCUGGUCUCUUUGGACGUUGUCAAAAAAGUGCCCGUACUUCAAAACAGGAAAUUGAGUAUGAACACAAUUGAGGACGAAUCUGGCACAGUAACCUUGGAAACAAUCAGCUCAGUAACCCUAGCCCAAGACACAGAAGGCAAUCUGAUCUUGCAUUGCCCUCAAAACAAUUUAGAAUCUGAGGACAAUCAAGAACCUCUACACAAAAGGCUUUGUUUGUCAACUGAAGAUGACGCUAGUCUUGAAUCCACAGGUAUUGCUGGCCCAUUUGCAGCAGUACAAUCAGUUGUUACACUUCCAAUUUCAGACAAUGAUCAAAGUUUUGAGGUAACCAUGACUGGAGAGGCAGCAUCUGAGCUGACUCAUGCAACUGAAAUUGAAGACAGUGAAACCAUUACUCAGAUACAGAUCUUGCACAAUGAAGAUCAAAUGGAGAGCAUUUCUCCCCAAAACAAUGAAGAUUUGGAUCCUGUUAGUCAAGCCUGGUUUACAACUAAAGAAGACAAGGACACACUCCAGAACAAAGGCCACAAGUGGAAACAGGGAAUGUGGUCAAAGGAGGAAAUAGACAUUUUAAUGAGCAACAUUGAAAACUACCUACAGAUACAUGGACUAAGUGAUGCCACGGAAGUCAUAUUUGAAAUGUCAAAAGAUGAAAGAAAAGAUUUCUACCGGACUAUAGCGAGGGGUCUUAACCGGCCAUUGUUUGCAGUUUAUAGACGAGUGCUCCGGAUGUAUGACAAUAGAAACCACGUUGGAAAGUAUACGCCACAAGAAAUCGAGAAACUUAAAGAGUUACGAUCUAAGCAUGGUAAUGAUUGGGCAACGAUAGGGGCAGCUCUGGGAAGGAGUGCUUCCUCAGUAAAAGAUCGAUGCAGACUGAUGAAAGACACUUGCAACACUGGUAAAUGGACGGUAGAAGAAGAAAGACGACUAGCAGAGGUGGUCCAUGAAUUAACUGCCACGGAUCCUGGUGAUAUCGUCACUCAGGGUGUCUCUUGGGCUGCGGUGGCUGAACGGGUGGGCACUCGUUCAGAGAAGCAAUGCCGUUCCAAAUGGCUCAAUUACCUCAACUGGAAGCAGAGUGGAGGGACAGAAUGGAGCAAAGACGAUGAAAUAAACCUAAUUUUAAGAAUCGCAGAACUCAAUGCAGAGGAUGAAAGUGAAAUUAACUGGGACAUCAUGGCGGAAGGUUGGAGUAGUGUCCGCUCUCCCCAGUGGCUGAGAAGUAAAUGGUGGACCAUCAAACGGCAGGUUACGAACCAUAAAGAUUUGACGUUUGCAGAAUUGGUAGAGAGUUUGAGACAAUUGGUAGAGAGCCUAAAGCAACCACAUGUCCCAGUGCACCAAUUAUCUGAAUGUCAAACUGGAUCAAGUUCACACAAUUCAAAUUCAUCCUCUGUCCAGCAUCUGCGGGUUCGGUUAGCUCAAGUGGAGGAAAACAGCAGUGUCUCCAACAGUCCAGUAGCCGCUCUGCAGAUUCCUGUGCAAAUCACUCAUGUUGCAUCAGGUGAUUCUUGUGGGAGCAGUACAGAUUGUGAGACAAUAACGCUGAAUGCAGGGACUCUACAGAGGUUCGAAUUCCUACCUUCUUUCCGGUUACAACCCACAGGAACACCAGGAACUUACCUGAUUCAGACUAGCUCAAGUCAAGGCCUUCCUAUAACACUGACAACUAGUCCAACUGUCACCCUUACCUCACCAUCUUCUCCAGAGCAGAUUAUUGUGCACACUCUUUCACCUGAGGCUCUUCUUCACAGUACUAAUGAAAAUGUCAGUGUACAAAUGACACACCCGAGUGUCAUCAUCCAUGCCGUUGCCACUGAUGACAUCACUUCUUCUAUAACCCAAGCUGAGUUGACAGUUGACUCAGCAAUCGACCACACGGAUUUGACAGAGAAUCAGAUUAACUCCACAUCUCUCGAGACUGAAACCUACAGUGAGAUUGAUCAGGCAAAGUUAACUGAAGACCAAAACACAAGUCAGACAGACCUUACUGAAGCAGAAAUUGCCCAAUCAAAUCUGAACUCUGAUAGUAGUGAGGAUAUGAUGGGUUCAGAUGUAAAUAUUGAUGAAUCAGACCUCAGACAAGAUGUUGAAGUGCAAUCUGAUCUAAGUGGUGCUUAUGUAACUGAGGCUCUAGGUUCUCCCAACAUUGAAGCGAGCAUUGAUGAAGAAACAACACUUAUUGCUUCAUCGGAUCAUGGGUUUAUUCAAUCAACAGAUGACAUUGAUAAUGACUCAGUUUUGCCAUUAACAACACUGACUGUUGUGUGACUUUUAUCAGAACAUUGAAAUUGAGCCAGGCUCCAGACCUCAAAACAACCUUGAUCCAGCCAUGGACGCAAGAGCUGAAUACCAGAAUGAGAUCCCAUUCUACAACCCCGAGGUGACUGUUCAGACAUCAUUAGCUCAUCACUGGAAACCCCAGAUCCUGAUGAUUGAAAAUAAUGACUGUUCUGCAUACCUGUCGUGCUGUCUUUAAUAGUGAAUAAUCUAAUGUGUUGUUCAACUAUGAAAUGGUCAAUGGAUAAUGAAUUCUCUUGAUAAUUCAAGAUUUGUGAAUGUAUGGUGCUGCCUUUUGAGACCAACUAAAGUGAAUAGAGUAGUUUUCAAACCGAUUUAAUUUCCUAUGGUGCGAAUUUACUAAACAAUGUAAACUAAAAAAGUGACAUUGUGCCAAGAAAACUACCAAAUUCCUGUAAAUAUAUAAAAAAAAUUACAUCACCUUUCCCCUUAAUACAAUACUGCUGUCAGACUGACAGGAUUGAGUUGAGGAAUUUCUUCUGAAAUGGGAGAGAAAAAGUGUUGAGGUUUUUUUCAGUUAGUUGAACCAUCUAAAGGUGCUGAAAUUUAUUUUACCAAUAUCACCUUUGAGGCUGUUUACAUUCCUAGUUUAAUAAUCCCUCAUCAAAGCUUUUUUUUUGUAAAAUCCUGCCAAGUCAAAGACUUUGAACUAAGUUACACAUUCUUUAAAAAAAAUCCUUUUCAAUUCAAUGUGUAAUUCAUACAAGAAACAAUGUGGCUUAAAUGUGAGUUUCAUACAUCUGUUGUAACUCUGCAGUAUUUCAGAAAUACAUUCGUUUUCUAGUAUGGGGAAAGAAUAUCCUUUUCUCCCUCCCACCUCCCCCCAUAAAAACUACCUUUCAUUAUUAUGUAGGAAAAGUACAGGAAUUAAGUGCCCUAGGCAUAAUUAAGGAAGAAGAAAAACUGUACAUACCAAAAGCAAACUUGCACUACAGUGACAAUAAAUUUGAUAAUACUUAUCAAACUUGUGACAUCUGCAGGAUUUAUUCAAUUAGUAUUCAACUUAUUUUUGUGCACAAAUAAACAAAGUGUAGACACAAGUUCAAUGUAUAUAAAUUAUUUUAUUACUAUUUAUUCUUUAAAACAAAGUAAAUGCUUUCUUACCGUUGUAUUGUCUAGUAUUGGUUCACAGGCUUGGUUUGGCUAUUUCAUUUUAUUGUAAAAAUCCAGUAGUUAAGUGGCUGCAUAGUGCAAUUAUUUCAUUACUUAAGACAAAAUAAAAAGUAUAUUUGUCCUGCA
This is an RNA transcript of Carcharodon carcharias (great white shark), 3609 nucleotides long. It is a transcript of the gene named cyclin D binding myb-like transcription factor 1, with no coding region annotated. The transcript has 18 exons. The record is from RefSeq and is a predicted model, not a curated record. NCBI's taxonomy places the organism in Eukaryota, Metazoa, Chordata, Chondrichthyes, Lamniformes, Lamnidae.